UGCCAGCAGCCGCGGUAAUACGGAGGGUGCGAGCGUUAAUCGGAAUUACUGGGCGUAAAGCGCGCGUAGGCGGUUUGUUAAGUCAGCUGUGAAAGCCCCGGGCUCAACCUGGGAACUGCAGUUGAUACUGGCCGACUAGAGUACGAGAGAGGGAGGUAGAAUUCCAUGUGUAGCGGUGAAAUGCGUAGAUAUAUGGAGGAAUACCGGUGGCGAAGGCGGCCUCCUGGCUCGAUACUGACGCUGAGGUGCGAAAGCGUGGGGAUCAAACAGGAUUAGAUACCCUGGUAGUCC
RNAcentral lists this ribosomal RNA (291 nucleotides) under uncultured bacterium. RNAcentral's name for it is "partial 16S ribosomal RNA". It matches the Rfam family "Bacterial small subunit ribosomal RNA", at positions 506 to 796 of the family's 1533-position model. The record is from RNAcentral.